Molecule: long non-coding RNA, 181 nt
Organism: Bradysia coprophila
Lineage: Eukaryota; Metazoa; Arthropoda; Insecta; Diptera; Sciaridae
Source: RefSeq, a predicted model, not a curated record
AAAUGCUUUGAACUUGAAACACACUCAAUUCAUAGAGAAUUUUCCGGGCAACAAUAAUGUAGAACAUUGCAAUGAUCAAAACAUAUUAUUUCUACCUGAAAAGUGUAAAAAACAGUGAAAAUAUUGGUGUUUAAAAAUAUUUUUUCACUUUGACAGCAUUUUUUGCCCACCCUGUGAAAUC